AGAGUUUGAUCAUGGCUCAGGGUGAACGCUGGCGGCGUGCUUGACACAUGCAAGUCGAACGGUAUGUGGCAACACAUAGAGUGGCGAACGGGUGAGUAACACGUGGGAACGUAUCUUUUGCAGGGGGAUAACUGACCGAAAGGACAGCUAAUACCGCAUAAGUCCGGGAGGAGAAAGGUGCAACAGCAUCGGCAGAAGAGCGGCCCGCGGUCCAUCAGCUAGUUGGUGAGGUAAGGGCUUACCAAGGCGACGACGGAUAGCCGGCGUGAGAGCGUGGCCGGCCACAAGGACACUGAGAUACGGGUCCUACUCCUACGGGAGGCAGCAGUGCGGAAUUUUAGAUAAUGGAGGGAACUCUGAUCUAGCGACGCCGCGUGCAGGAAGAAGGUCUUCGGAUUGUAAACUGCUGUGGUAAGGGAAAAAUGCUAUGUAGAGUGGAAAGCUACAUAGAGGGAUGGUACCUUACUAGAAAGCCCCGGCUAACUACGUGCCAGCAGCCGCGGUAAUACGUAGGGGGCGAGCGUUACCCGGAAUCACUGGGCGUAAAGGGAGCGUAGGUGGCCUAACAUGUCAACUGUGAAAACCCGGAGCUCAACUCCGGACUUGCAGUUGAAACUGGUAGGCUUGAGGACGGUAGAGGAAGACGGAACUGCCAGUGUAGGGGUAAAAUCCUUAGAUAUUGGCAGGAACGCCGGUGACGAAGGUGGUUUUCUGGGCCGGUUCUGACACUGAUGCUCGAAAGCCAGGGGAGCGAACGGGAUUAGAUACCCCGGUAGUCCUGGCCCUAAACGAUGUUCACUAGGUGUGGGGAGCGGAAAGCUCUCCGUGCUAAAGCUAACGCGAUAAGUGAACCGCCUGGGGAGUACGCCCGCAAGGGUGAACUCAAAUGAAUUGACGG
Molecule: ribosomal RNA, 898 nt
Filed under: Thermotogaceae bacterium enrichment culture clone B31121
Lineage: Bacteria; Thermotogati; Thermotogota; Thermotogae; Thermotogales; Thermotogaceae
Description: bacterial SSU rRNA
Rfam family: Bacterial small subunit ribosomal RNA
Source: RNAcentral